RNAcentral lists this long non-coding RNA (487 nucleotides) under Actinidia chinensis (golden kiwifruit). RNAcentral's name for it is "long non-coding RNA (ACHI_LNC002587)". The record is from RNAcentral. Lineage: Eukaryota; Viridiplantae; Streptophyta; Magnoliopsida; Ericales; Actinidiaceae.
ACGUUCUUGUAAAAUCGGAUCCAUAGUAGCAGUGCCAUCUCCAUGAAUAUCAUUGAGAUUACUUCCAACGUCAAUGCAGACCGAUGCAUUGCCAACAAAUGGAAACUUAGCUUGAGAGGACGAGCUGGCAUAACCAGCCGAAGGAGAGGUUCCGAGGCCUGUCUCUCCCACUUUCAUCCAUUGAUUUGUCGUUCGAUGUGCUUGCGAAAGCGGGUCCAUAGUAACAGUGCCAUCUCCAUGAACCAUGUCAACGCGAUUCGUAAUUGACCCACCAUCAAGUGCAAACCAAGCUUGAGAGGACGUGGCACUCGAAGAGUACUCUGCUGGAGAUUUAUUGAGUUGAUUUGAGUUGGCAUAACCAGCCGAAGCAGAGGUUCCCAGGACUGUCUCUCCCACUUUCAUCCCUUGAUCCAUCGUUCGACGUGCUUGCGAAAGUGGAUUCAUAGUAGCAGUGCCAUCUCCAUGAACCAUGUCAACGCACACCGUC